This 492-nucleotide ribosomal RNA is filed under the name uncultured bacterium. RNAcentral's name for it is "partial 16S ribosomal RNA". It matches the Rfam family "Bacterial small subunit ribosomal RNA", at positions 29 to 507 of the family's 1533-position model. The record is from RNAcentral.
AGUGAACGCUGGCGGUAUGCCUAACACAUGCAAGUCGAACGGCAGCACAGUAAGAUCUUGCUCUUACGGGUGGCGAGUGGCGGACGGGUGAGGAAUACAUCGGAAUCUACUUUUUCGUGGGGGAUAACGUAGGGAAACUUACGCUAAUACCGCAUACGACCUACCGGUGAAAGCAGGGGAUCUUCUGACCUUGCGCGAUUGAAUGAGCCGAUGGCGGAUUAGCUAGUUGGCGGGGUAAAGGCCCACCAAGGCGACGAUCCGUAGCUGGUCUGAGAGGGUGAUCAGCCACACUGGAACUGAGACACGGUCCAGACUCCUACGGGAGGCAGCAGUGGGGAAUAUUGGACAAUGGGCGCAAGCCUGAUCCAGCCAUACCGCGUGGGUGAAGAAGGCCUUCGGGUUGUAAAGCCCUUUUGUUGGGAAAGAAAAGCAGCAGGUUAAUACCCCGCUGUUCUGACGGUACCCAAAGAAUAAGCACCGGCUAACUUCGUG